Molecule: ribosomal RNA, 468 nt
Filed under: uncultured bacterium
Lineage: Bacteria
Description: partial 16S ribosomal RNA
Rfam family: Bacterial small subunit ribosomal RNA
Source: RNAcentral
GACGAACGCUGGCGGCGUGCUUAACACAUGCAAGUCGAACGGAAAGGCCCUGCUUUUGUGGGGUGCUCGAGUGGCGAACGGGUGAGUAACACGUGAGUAACCUGCCCUUGACUUUGGGAUAACUUCAGGAAACUGGGGCUAAUACCGGAUAGGAGCUCCUGCUGCAUGGUGGGGGUUGGAAAGUUUCGGCGGUUGGGGAUGGACUCGCGGCUUAUCAGCUUGUUGGUGGGGUAGUGGCUUACCAAGGCUUUGACGGGUAGCCGGCCUGAGAGGGUGACCGGCCACAUUGGGACUGAGAUACGGCCCAGACUCCUACGGGAGGCAGCAGUGGGGAAUAUUGCACAAUGGGCGGAAGCCUGAUGCAGCAACGCCGCGUGCGGGAUGACGGCCUUCGGGUUGUUAACCGCUUUCGCCUGUGACGAAGCGUGAGUGACGGUAAUGGGUAAAGAAGCACCGGCUAACUACGUG